UACAUGCAAGUCGAACGAUGAAGUCCUAGCUUGCUAGGAUGGAUUAGUGGCGCACGGGUGAGUAAUAUAUAGUUAAUCUGCCCUACACAGAGGAACAACAGUUGGAAACGGCUGCUAAUACCUCAUACUCCUAUUUGACAUAAGUUAAAUAGGGAAAGUCUUUUCGGUGUAGGAUGAGACUAUAUCGUAUCAGCUAGUUGGUAAGGUAAUGGCUUACCAAGGCUAUGACGCGUAACUGGUCUGAGAGGAUGAUCAGUCACAUUGGAACUGAGACACGGUCCAAACUCCUACGGGAGGCAGCAGUAAGGAAUAUUGCGCAAUGGGGGAAACCCUGACGCAGCAACGCCGCGUGGAGGAUGACACUUUUCGGAGCGUAAACUCCUUUUAUCAGGAAAGAAUAAUGACGGUACCUGAUGAACAAGCACCGGCUAACUCCGUGCCAGCAGCCGCGGUAAUACCGGGGGGUGCAAGCGUUACUCGGAAUCACUGGGCGUAAAGGACGCGUAGGCUGAUUAUCAAGU
RNAcentral lists this ribosomal RNA (521 nucleotides) under uncultured Campylobacterota bacterium. Its description in RNAcentral is "bacterial SSU rRNA". It matches the Rfam family "Bacterial small subunit ribosomal RNA", at positions 52 to 588 of the family's 1533-position model. The record is from RNAcentral. Lineage: Bacteria; Pseudomonadati; Campylobacterota.